Molecule: ribosomal RNA, 227 nt
Filed under: uncultured bacterium
Lineage: Bacteria
Description: partial 16S ribosomal RNA
Rfam family: Bacterial small subunit ribosomal RNA
Source: RNAcentral
UGGGUGACCUGCCCUCAGCUCUGGGAUAAGCCCGGGAAACUGGGUCUAAUACCGGAUAUGACCUCUCAUCGCAUGGUGAGGGGUGGAAAGUUUUUCGGCUGGGGAUGGGCCCGCGGCCUAUCAGCUUGUUGGUGGGGUGACGGCCUACCAAGGCGACGACGGGUAGCCGGCCUGAGAGGGCGACCGGCCACACUGGGACUGAGAUACGGCCCAGACUCCUACGGGAG